UAGGGAAUCUUCGGCAAUGGACGAAAGUCUGACUGAGCAACGCCGCGUGAGUGAAGAAGGUUUUCGGAUCGUAAAACUCUGUUGUUUGAGAAGAACAAGGACGUUAGUAACUGAACGUCCCCUGACGGUAUCUAACCAGAAAGCCACGGCUAACUACGUGCCAGCAGCCGCGGUAAUACGUAGGUGGCAAGCGUUGUCCGGCUUUAUUGGGCGUAAAGCGAGCGCAGGCGGUUUCUUAAGUCUGAUAUGAAAGCCCCCGGCUCAACCGGGGAGGGUCAUUGGAAACUUGGAGACUUGAGUGCGGGAGAGGAGAGUGGAAUUCCAUGUGUAGCGGUGAGAUGCGUAGAUAUAUGGAAGAACACCAGUGGCGAAGGCUGCUCUCUGGUCUGUAACUGACGCUGAGGAUCGAAGGCGUGGGGAGCAAACAGG
Molecule: ribosomal RNA, 429 nt
Filed under: Gemmatimonadota bacterium
Lineage: Bacteria; Pseudomonadati; Gemmatimonadota
Description: Gemmatimonadetes bacterium partial 16S ribosomal RNA
Rfam family: Bacterial small subunit ribosomal RNA
Source: RNAcentral